RNAcentral lists this transfer RNA (77 nucleotides) under Saccharospirillum salsuginis. Its description in RNAcentral is "tRNA-Met". It matches the Rfam family "tRNA". Rfam says of the family: Transfer RNA (tRNA) molecules are approximately 80 nucleotides in length. Their secondary structure includes four short double-helical elements and three loops (D, anti-codon, and T loops). The record is from RNAcentral. Lineage: Bacteria; Pseudomonadati; Pseudomonadota; Gammaproteobacteria; Oceanospirillales; Saccharospirillaceae.
GGGCCCUUAGCUCAGUUGGUUAGAGCAUCCGACUCAUAAUCGGCAGGUCGGCAGUUCAAGUCUGCCAGGGCCCACCA